RNAcentral lists this ribosomal RNA (139 nucleotides) under Hippocampus comes (tiger tail seahorse). Its description in RNAcentral is "5.8S ribosomal RNA (ENSHCOG00000000611.1)". It matches the Rfam family "5.8S ribosomal RNA". Rfam says of the family: 5.8S ribosomal RNA (5.8S rRNA) is a component of the large subunit of the eukaryotic ribosome. It is transcribed by RNA polymerase I as part of the 45S precursor that also contains 18S and 28S rRNA. Functionally, it is thought that 5.8S rRNA may be involved in ribosome translocation. The record is from RNAcentral. Lineage: Eukaryota; Metazoa; Chordata; Actinopteri; Syngnathiformes; Syngnathidae.
AAUGCUUAGCAAUGGAUCACUUGACUUCUGCAUUGAUGAAGAAUGACACCGACUCAGAAAUAAUGGGAAUUGCAGGGCACAUUGAUCAUCCACAUUUCAAAUAAACCUUGCAGCCCUGGCUCCGCUGCCCAUAGCUCAG